GAUGAACGCUGACAGCAUGCUUAACACAUGCAAGUCGACUUGAAUUUGGGUUUUUAACUUGGGUUCGGGUGGCGGACGGGUGAGUAACGCGUAAAGAACUUGCCUCACAGCUAGGGACAACAUUUGGAAACGCAUGCUAAUACCUAAUAUUAUGAUAAUAGGGCAUCCUAUAAUUAUGAAAGCUAUAAGCGCUGUGAGAGAGCUUUGCGUCCUAUUAGCUAGUUGGAGAGGUAACGGCUCACCAAGGCGAUGAUGGGUAGCCGGCCUGAGAGGGUGAUCGGCCACAAGGGGACUGAGACACGGCCCUGACUCCUACGGGAGGCAGCAGUGGGGAAUAUGGGACAAUGGACCGAGAGUCUGAUCCAGCAAUUCUGUGUGCACGAUGAAGUUUUUCGGAAUGUAAAGUGCUUUCAGUUGGGAAGAAACAAAUGACGGUACCAACAGAAGAAGUGACGGCUAAAUACGUG
Molecule: ribosomal RNA, 467 nt
Filed under: uncultured bacterium
Lineage: Bacteria
Description: partial 16S ribosomal RNA
Rfam family: Bacterial small subunit ribosomal RNA
Source: RNAcentral